RNAcentral lists this ribosomal RNA (276 nucleotides) under Lachnospira eligens. RNAcentral describes it as "[Eubacterium] eligens partial 23S ribosomal RNA". It matches the Rfam family "Bacterial large subunit ribosomal RNA", at positions 2651 to 2925 of the family's 2925-position model. Lineage: Bacteria; Bacillati; Bacillota; Clostridia; Lachnospirales; Lachnospiraceae. The record is from RNAcentral.
GCGUAGGAUAUCUGAGAGGAGCUGUCCUUAGUACGAGAGGACCGGGAUGGACUGACCUCUGGUGCACCGGUUGCAUUGCCAAAUGCAUAGCCGGGUAGCCAAGUCGGGACGGGAUAAACGCUGAAGGCAUCUAAGCGUGAAGCCCCCCUCAAGAUGAGAUAUCCCAUAACGUAAGUUAGUAAGACCCCUUGAAGACGACGAGGUAGAUAGGCAGAAGGUGGAAGUGUGGUGACAUAUGGAGCUGAUCUGUACUAAUAGGUCGAGGGCUUAACCAAG